CUUUGCUCCCACCAGGCGCUUCAUGGGAAAUAAAUUCUCUGCCCAAGUGUCUUUCGGUAGGGCAUGCAAAGCAGCCACUCCUUAUUUGAUUAAUCCUUACUCUGUAUUUUCCAGGGCGUGUACUGUAUCACCAAGGAUCCUACAUGACAUCAAUCUUCUUCUACAUCCCUCUUGGCAUGUGAUGAAAGGAGGAGUUUGCUUGGGAUUGUCUCGGUUGUCAAGAGACCAGCAGGUCUGCUCAUCCCCUGGGAGAGGCUGGCAGCAGAUGCCUCAGCCGCCUGACUCAGCAAUGCCAGGCUCACCCCUGGCCCAGGGACCUGUGCAGAAGCAAUAUCCUACGCCUGCCUCCAAUCCAGAGAAACGAGAGUGAUCUCAAUUUGAACAAAACCUUUUCCAGCCCAGUCUUAUGCAUCGGGCAUGGUUAGCUUCCACACUCCAACCCCACUGUCUUCCAUGGGUCCCCCUUGAUGCUGUUUCUUCUGAAAAUGGAAAUGCCCAUGCCUCACAGGCUCCAGAGAGGCAGAUGAAGUCAUGGAUAGGAAAGCACAGUGCUCAUGAGAUGUGGGUCUGCACAGCUACUACAAUCAAGGGCUGAAUUGGAAAUUUCCACAGAUAUCUCGGUUUGGCAGAUAAUGAGAUUUUAUAAGGAAAGCAUCCAACUAAGGAUGGGCCCCCUCUGACUAUACUACUUUCCUUUUCAAAAUAUCCCUGGGGUUCUCCAGUGCUUACAGAGU
This 734-nucleotide long non-coding RNA is filed under the name Capra hircus (goat). RNAcentral describes it as "lncRNA (ENSCHIG00000007091.1)". Lineage: Eukaryota; Metazoa; Chordata; Mammalia; Artiodactyla; Bovidae. The record is from RNAcentral.